GAUCCUGGCUCAGGAUGAACGCUAGCGACAGGCUUAACACAUGCAAGUCGAGGGGCAGCACAGGGUAGCAAUACUUGGGUGGCGACCGGCGCACGGGUGAGUAACGCGUAUGCAACUUACCUAUCAGAGGGGGAUAGCCCGGCGAAAGUCGGAUUAAUACUCCAUAAAACAGGGGUUCCGCAUGGGACUAUUUGUUAAAGAUUCAUCGCUGAUAGAUAGGCAUGCGUUCCAUUAGGCAG
RNAcentral lists this ribosomal RNA (239 nucleotides) under uncultured bacterium. RNAcentral describes it as "partial 16S ribosomal RNA". It matches the Rfam family "Bacterial small subunit ribosomal RNA", at positions 15 to 248 of the family's 1533-position model. The record is from RNAcentral.